RNAcentral lists this non-coding RNA (834 nucleotides) under Coprophanaeus sp. BMNH679884. The record is from RNAcentral. Lineage: Eukaryota; Metazoa; Arthropoda; Insecta; Coleoptera; Scarabaeidae.
GUUAAAUUUUAUUUUGGUUUAUAAAUUUAAUAUAUAUUUUCAGUUAUAUGCGAAUAUUUUGUGUGAAUUAUAAUUUAUAGUAAAUAGAUAUUUAUUUAAAUAAUAAAUUUUAACUUAAGUCUUAUAGAUGGAUAAAAUAUGCAAUAAUGAGUAUUUUACAAUAAAGGGAAUUUUGAUGUAGAAAUAUAUAAGAGUAUUGGCCAAAUUUGUGCCAGCAGCCGUGGUUAAACAGAUGAUGCCUUUAAAUUUAUUCGGUUAGUACUAAGUGUGAUUUAAAGUUUAAUUUAAAAUUAAAUUUAAUGAGUGAAAUUAGAAAUUUAAAUUAAAUUAAUUAAUUUAUAAAAUUCAAGGGUUACGAGAUUCUAAAAUUAAACUAGGAUUAGAUACCCUAUUAUAAAGAAUAUAAAUAGAAAUGCCUGAGUAGUAGUAGUUAUGCCCUUGAAAUUCGAAAGAUCUGGCGGUAUUUUAGUCUUCUCAGAGGAACCUGUCCUAUAAUUGAUGAUCCACGAUUAAUCAUACUUAAUUUACAAGUUUGUAUAUCGUCGUAGUGGAAUGUGUUUGAAAGGCUUAUGGAACGUUCAUUUGUCAAGAUUGUGAAUUAAAUCAGAUCAAGAUACAGCCUAUAAUUGAGGAGAGAUGGGUUACAAUAAAUUUAUUUAAAUGGUUAUAAUAAUUAAAAUUAUUAUAUAAAAUGGAUUUGGAAGUAAUAUAUUUAACUUAAAGUGUAUGACUAUAGCUCUAGAAUAUGCACAUAUCGCCCGUCGCUUCCACCGAACCCUAAGGUGGAAUAAGUCGUAACAUAGUAGGUGUACCGGAAGGUGUACCUAGUUAGAA